RNAcentral lists this ribosomal RNA (253 nucleotides) under uncultured bacterium. Its description in RNAcentral is "partial 16S ribosomal RNA". It matches the Rfam family "Bacterial small subunit ribosomal RNA", at positions 524 to 776 of the family's 1533-position model. The record is from RNAcentral.
UACGUAGGGGGCUAGCGUUGUCCGGAAUCAUUGGGCGUAAAGCGCGUGUAGGCGGUCCGGUAAGUCCGCUGUGAAAGUCGAGGGCUCAACCCUCGAAUGCCGGUGGAUACUGUCGGGCUAGAGUACGGAAGAGGCGAGUGGAAUUCCUGGUGUAGCAGUGAAAUGCGUAGAUAUCAGGAGGAACACCGAUGGCGAAGGCAGGUCUCUGGGCUGAAACUGACGCUCAUGCACGAAAGCGUGGGGAGCAAACAGG